Molecule: long non-coding RNA, 367 nt
Organism: Melospiza melodia melodia
Lineage: Eukaryota; Metazoa; Chordata; Aves; Passeriformes; Passerellidae
Exons: 3
Source: RefSeq, a predicted model, not a curated record
AGUAAACUCCUCUCAAGUAAACACGCUCGCGGCAGGGAUGCAUCUGGCCUUGAGUGGCAAGGGACAGAGCCAAGCCAGCACCGUGCCAGCAAAGAUAAUGGAGCCAGGACGACAGGGCACAGAAGUAAUGUGGAGUCAGGCUGAAGAACCAAUAAAGCAAAUGUGCAGCAACGAUUUGCCACCUUAAUUCCACUCCUGGUUCUGCUUUCAUCCUGUCAUCCUGUGGAAGAACAAAACUAAUGACACAGCUACUGUCACCAAAACUGGAGUUGCAGCCUCAGCCCAGGCUGCCAACCAGCUCUCUCCCAUGGAGAGCUGAGAAACCCUGUCUUGAAUUAGGACAAGAUAUUAAAAUACUUUGUCAUAG